This 75-nucleotide transfer RNA is filed under the name Candidatus Malacoplasma girerdii. RNAcentral describes it as "tRNA-Gln (TTG) (tRNA-Gln-TTG-1-1)". It matches the Rfam family "tRNA". Rfam says of the family: Transfer RNA (tRNA) molecules are approximately 80 nucleotides in length. Their secondary structure includes four short double-helical elements and three loops (D, anti-codon, and T loops). Lineage: Bacteria; Bacillati; Mycoplasmatota; Mycoplasmoidales; Mycoplasmoidaceae. The record is from RNAcentral.
UGGGUUGUAGCCAAGCGGUAAGGCAUCAGAUUUUGAUUCUGACAUGCACUGGUUCGAAUCCAGUCUACCCAGCCA